CACAGCUUGAGGGGGCAGAGGCAGGGCAGAAGCGGGCUUGCUCUUACAGGCUUGAAUCUCUGUGUUCUGUCCUGAUGCUGUGCCAACCCCUACUCCGGGGGGCCCUGCCUCUUCCUGCGGCCACAGAACUACCUUCCUUUCCACUGACCACAGGAGCCAUUCAAUUCUUGGCCUCCUCCUGAUAUCGUUCUGAGGCUUUGCGAGCUCUGGGCAACGGAAGAAAGAUCCAGUGUUAACAUCUGUGUGGUAAUUUUCCAUGACUAUCUCAGAUGGCCGAAGACAUGACUGCUAUUUUCUGGAUCACGACAUCUUUCAGGCUUCAGACUGACCCCUCUGGACAAACAGGGCUUAGGUCCUCUCCAGGUGCUUGUAUGCUGCUUCUCACAUGGGAACAGUGCUCACCACCCCGGGAGGAACUUACAGACAGUGAAGCUGGAUUCCAGGGACGCGAGAUCCUUCUGCCCAAUGUUUCCACCAUGCGGUUGGUCACCCAGUUGGGACCAGAACAGAGGAACUUGGACCAAAAGGACAUCAUAAUGCUUGGAAGAAUCAGAGAAAGCUUCUAGAAGGAGCUGUAUUCAGGCUGGGACAAAGGUGACGCAUGCAUGGCUAGUUUCUAAAUUUACAAUAAUCCUCUAUGAUUAGGGAUUUUUUUUUUUUCUGGUCUGUGUUAAGGAAUAUUUUCCUACCUUAAAAUCAUACAGACAGUUUCAAGGGACAAAGGUAGUACUUUCUGUUAUCUUAUAAAACCUCUAUAGUUUUGUCUUCUAUGUUUAGGUUUAUAAUAUAUCUGGAGUUAAUUUUUGUGCAGAGUGUAGCAUUCCAUAAUUCUAAAAGAUACAUGCACCUCAAUAUUCAUUGUAGCACUGUUUAUGAUAGCCAAAACAUGGAAGCAACCUAAAUGUCCAUCAACAGAGGAAUGGAUAAAGAAGAUGUAGUGUGUAUAUACACAAUGGAAUAUUACUCAGCCAUGAAAAGAAUGAAAUCAUGCCACAUGCCAACAUGGAUGGACCUAGAGGAGAUCAUACUGAUUGAACUCAGGUAGUGAAAGAUACACAUCACAUGAUAUCACUUAUAUGUGGAAUCUAAAAAAAGGAUACAAAUGAACUUAUUUGCAGGAUAGAAACAGACACAGAUUUUGAAAACAAAUUUAUGGUUAUCAAAGGGGACAGGUUAGGGGGAAGGACUGGGGAUUUGAGAUUGUCAUAUGCACACUAAGGUUUAUGGAAUGAUUGGCCAAAGGUGACAUGCUGUUUGGCACAGAGAACUCUCCCUAAUAUUCUGUGAUCAUCUAUGUGGGAAAGGAAUCUGAAAGAGAACGGAUGUGUGUACAUGUAUAACUGACUCACUUUUUUUGUAUAGCAGAAAUUAUCACAACAUUGUAAAUCAACUCUACUUCAAUAAAACUUUAAAGAUG
RNAcentral lists this long non-coding RNA (1417 nucleotides) under Sus scrofa (pig). Its description in RNAcentral is "lncRNA (ENSSSCG00030068942.1)". Lineage: Eukaryota; Metazoa; Chordata; Mammalia; Artiodactyla; Suidae. The record is from RNAcentral.